Molecule: ribosomal RNA, 427 nt
Filed under: uncultured bacterium
Lineage: Bacteria
Description: partial 16S ribosomal RNA
Rfam family: Bacterial small subunit ribosomal RNA
Source: RNAcentral
GUGGGGAAUUUUGGACAAUGGGGGAAACCCUGAUCCAGCGACGCCGCGUGAAGGAUGAAGGUCUUCGGAUUGUAAACUUCUUUUAUGAGUGAAGAAUAUGACGGUAACUCAUGAAUAAGCACCGGCUAACUACGUGCCAGCAGCCGCGGUCAUACGUAGGGUGCAAGCAUUAUCCGGAGUGACUGGGCGUAAAGAGUUGCGUAGGCGGUUAUGUAAGCGAAUAGUGAAACCUGGUGGCUCAACCACACAGACUAUUAUUCGAACUGCAUAACUUGAGAAUGGUAGAGGUAACUGGAAUUUCUUGUGUAGGAGUGAAAUCCGUAGAUAUAAGAAGGAACACCAAUGGCGUAGGCAGGUUACUGGGCCAUUUCUGACGCUAAGGCACGAAAGCGUGGGGAGCGAACCGGAUUAGAUACCCCAGUAGUCC